RNAcentral lists this ribosomal RNA (569 nucleotides) under Tegula quadricostata. Its description in RNAcentral is "partial 16S ribosomal RNA". It matches the Rfam family "Bacterial large subunit ribosomal RNA", at positions 1816 to 2606 of the family's 2925-position model. The record is from RNAcentral. Lineage: Eukaryota; Metazoa; Mollusca; Gastropoda; Trochida; Tegulidae.
CGCUCUCUGGAAUAAAAAUUAUAUUAAUUGUAUAGAGAGUCGGGCCUGCCCAGUGACAUUUUAUGUUAAACGGCCGCGGUACCCUGACCGUGCAAAGGUAGCAUAAUCAUUUGCCUUUUGAUUGAGGGCUGGUAUGAAUGGCUUGACGAGAGCUGGACUGUCUCUUUUUAAAUUUAUAAAAAUUAACUUUUAAGUGAAAAGACUUAAAUUUAACUGAGUGACGAAAAGACCCUAUUGAGCUUUAGUUAAUUAGUGAAAAUAUUAAUAUUUUUGAUAUUUUGUGCACUGAAGUGCAUACAUAUUUCACUGAAAAUCUUUAGUUGGGGCGACUUAGGAGCAAAUAAAGCCUCCUUUUAAUAAUUUAGAAUAUCAAGGUAAUCAAACUGGUAUUAGUAGAUCCAGCACAUGCUGAUCAAAGGAAAAAGUUACCAUAGGGAUAACAGCGUGAUCUUUCUGGAGAGUUCUUAUUGAAGGAAAGGUUUACGACCUCGAUGUUGGACUAAGAUAUCCUAGAGGUGCAGAAGCUUCUAAUGGUUAGUCUGUUCGACUAUUAAAAUCUUACGUGAUCU